This 510-nucleotide ribosomal RNA is filed under the name uncultured bacterium. RNAcentral's name for it is "partial 16S ribosomal RNA". It matches the Rfam family "Bacterial small subunit ribosomal RNA", at positions 28 to 507 of the family's 1533-position model. The record is from RNAcentral.
GACGAACGCUGGCGGCGUGCUUAACACAUGCAAGUCGAACGAAGAGCGACGGAAGCUUGCUUCUAUCAAUCUUAGUGGCGAACGGGUGAGUAACGCGUAAUCAACCUGCCCUUCAGAGGGGGACAACAGUUGGAAACGACUGCUAAUACCGCAUACGAUCUAAUCUCGGCAUCGAGGAUGGAUGAAAGGUGGCCUCUACAUGUAAGCUAUCACUGAAGGAGGGGAUUGCGUCUGAUUAGCUAGUUGGAGGGGUAACGGCCCACCAAGGCGAUGAUCAGUAGCCGGUCGGAGAGGAUGAACGGCCACAUUGGGACUGAGACACGGCCCAGACUCCUACGGGAGGCAGCAGUGGGGAAUCUUCCGCAAUGGACGAAAGUCUGACGGAGCAACGCCGCGUGAGUGAUGACGGCCUUCGGGUUGUAAAGCUCUGUUAAUCGGGACGAAAGGCCUUCUUGCGAAUAGUGAGAAGGAUUGACGGUACCGGAAUAGAAAGCCACGGCUAACUACGUG